CAGUAGCCACGGUAAUACGAAGGGUGCAAGCGUUAAUCGGAAUUACUGGGCGUAAAGCGCGCGUAGGUGGUUUGGUAAGAUGGAUGUGAAAUCCCCGGGCUCAACCUGGGAACUGCAUCCAUAACUGCCUGACUAGAGUACGGUAGAGGGUGGUGGAAUUUCCUGUGUAGCGGUGAAAUGCGUAGAUAUAGGAAGGAACACCAGUGGCGAAGGCGACCACCUGGACUGAUACUGACACUGAGGUGCGAAAGCGUGGGGAGCAAACAGGAUUAGAUACCCCCGUAGUCCCUGUCUCUUAUAC
This 301-nucleotide ribosomal RNA is filed under the name uncultured bacterium. Its description in RNAcentral is "partial 16S ribosomal RNA". It matches the Rfam family "Bacterial small subunit ribosomal RNA", at positions 509 to 807 of the family's 1533-position model. The record is from RNAcentral.